RNAcentral lists this ribosomal RNA (496 nucleotides) under uncultured bacterium. Its description in RNAcentral is "bacterial SSU rRNA". It matches the Rfam family "Bacterial small subunit ribosomal RNA", at positions 28 to 526 of the family's 1533-position model. The record is from RNAcentral.
GACGAACGCUGGCGGCGUGCUUAACACAUGCAAGUGGAGCGACGAACCGGGCUUGCCCGGGGCAGAGCCGCGAACGGGUGAGUAACACGUGGGUUACCUGCCGUGAUGACUGGGACAACCCGUCGAAAGACGGGCUAAUACCGGAUGUGCCCGCAAGGGGAAAGGAGGCUUCGGCUUCCGCAUCGCGAUGGGCCCGCGGAGCAUUAGCUUGUUGGUGAGGUAACGGCUCACCAAGGCUUCGAUGCUUAGCUGGUCUGAGAGGACGAUCAGCCACACUGGGACUGAGACACGGCCCAGACUCCUACGGGAGGCAGCAGUGGGGAAUCUUGCGCAAUGCGCGAAAGCGUGACGCAGCAACGCCGCGUGCGGGAAGACGGCCUUCGGGUUGUAAACCGCUUUCAGUUGGGACGAAGCUUCUGCGGUUAAUACCCGUAUGGAGUGACGGUACCUUCAGAAGAAGCCCCGGCUAACUACGUGCCAGCAGCCGCCGUAAUAA